Triticum urartu is the source of this 172-nucleotide non-coding RNA. NCBI's taxonomy places the organism in Eukaryota, Viridiplantae, Streptophyta, Magnoliopsida, Poales, Poaceae. The record is from Rfam.
UGUAUACUCCCUCCGUUCCUAAAUACUUGUCUUUCUAGGCAUUUCAACAAGUGACUACAUACGGAGCAAAAUGAGUGAAUCUACACUCUAAAAUAUGUCUACAUACAUCCGUAUGUAGUAGUCAUUUAAAAUGUCUAGAAAGACAAGUAUUUAGGAACGGAGGGAGUACAUU